Molecule: ribosomal RNA, 484 nt
Filed under: uncultured bacterium
Lineage: Bacteria
Description: partial 16S ribosomal RNA
Rfam family: Bacterial small subunit ribosomal RNA
Source: RNAcentral
AUUGAACGCUGGCGGCAGGCCUAACACAUGCAAGUCGAGCGGAUGAAGCGAGCUUGCUGCUGGAUUCAGCGGUGGACGGGUGAGUAAUGCCUAUGAAUCUGCCUGGUAGUGGGGGAUAACGUCCUGAAACGGGCGCUAAUACCGCAUACGUCGUGAUGUAGAAAGUGGGGGAUCUUCGGACGUCACGCUAUCAGAUUAGGCUAGGUCGGAUUAGAUAGGUGGUGGGGUAAAGGCCUACCAAGGCGGCGAUCCGUAACUGGUCUGAGAGGAUGGUCAGUCACCCUGGAAGUGAGACACGGUCCAGACUCCUGCGGGAGGACGCAGUCGGGAAUAUUAGACAAUGGGGGAGAGGCUGAUCCAGCCAUGCCGCGUGUGUGAAGAAGGUCUUAGGAUUGUAAAGCACUUUAAGUUGGGAGGAAGGGAAGUAAGUUAAUACCUUGCUGUUUUGACGUUACCAACAGAAUAAGCACCGGCUAACUUCGUG